GACGAACGCUGGCGGCGUGCUUAACACAUGCAAGUCGAACGGAAAGGCCCUGCUUUUGUGGGGUGCUCGAGUGGCGAACGGGUGAGUAACACGUGAGUAACCUGCCCUUGACUUUGGGAUAACUUCAGGAAACUGGGGCUAAUACCGGAUAGGAGCUCCUGCUGCAUGGUGGGGGUUGGAAAGUUUCGGCGGUUGGGGAUGGACUCGCGGCUUAUCAGCUUGUUGGUGUGGUAGUGGCUUACCAAGGCUUUGACGGGUAGCCGGCCUGAGAGGGUGACCGGCCACAUUGGGACUGAGAUACGGCCCAGACUGCUACGGGAGGCAGCAGUGGGGAAUAUUGCACAAUGGGCGGAAGCCUGAUGCAGCAACGCCGCGUGCGGGAUGACGGCCUUCGGGUUGUAAACCGCUUUCGCCUGUGACGAAGCGUGAGUGACGGUAAUGGGUAAAGAAGCACCGGCUAACUACGUG
RNAcentral lists this ribosomal RNA (468 nucleotides) under uncultured bacterium. RNAcentral describes it as "partial 16S ribosomal RNA". It matches the Rfam family "Bacterial small subunit ribosomal RNA", at positions 28 to 507 of the family's 1533-position model. The record is from RNAcentral.